RNAcentral lists this ribosomal RNA (469 nucleotides) under uncultured bacterium. RNAcentral's name for it is "bacterial SSU rRNA". It matches the Rfam family "Bacterial small subunit ribosomal RNA", at positions 33 to 518 of the family's 1533-position model. The record is from RNAcentral.
GACGCUGGCGGCGUGCCUAACACAUGCAAGUCGAGCGAGGAGAUCCUUCGGGAUGAUCCUAGCGGCGGACGGGUGAGUAACACGUGGGCAACCUGCCUCAUAGAGAGGAAUAGCCUUCCGAAAGGGAGAUUAAUACCUCAUAACAUUGCAGUUUCGCAUGGAACAGCAAUUAAAGGAGUAAUCCGCUAUGAGAUGGGCCCGCGGCGCAUUAGCUAGUUGGUGAGGUAACGGCUCACCAAGGCGACGAUGCGUAGCCGACCUGAGAGGGUGAUCGGCCACAUUGGGACUGAGACACGGCCCAGACUCCUACGGGAGGCAGCAGUGGGGAAUAUUGCACAAUGGGGGAAACCCUGAUGCCAGCAACGCCGCGUGAGUGAUGACGGCCUUCGGGUUGUAAAGCUCUGUCUUCAGGGACGAUAAUGACGGUACCUGAGGAGGAAGCCACGGCUAACUACGUGCCAGCCGCCGC